UAGAAAUGAGUUUCCACUUAAUAUCAUUUGAUUCUUGGACAAUUUUUUUUACAUGUUCGGUACAAAAAUUGAGUACAUAGAAAAAUGGAAAAUGCAUCGACGAAAACGAUUGCAAUCUUCUUGAUGAUAUCGAUUCAUUAUGUUGUAACAAUAAUCAUCACGCAGUAUAACGAGGAUGGAGAUAAAAAAUGUGUAUGCGAGAACUGUUCUCCUAUGGAAGUUCAAAAUGCUUUAGAUGAAAAUAACACUCAAAAUCCAUACCAGUUUCAUUGCAAGCCGUCAGGUUUUUUCAGAAUCACAAAAGGUUCGUGCAACUGUACGCAAGAGAAUUUACUCGUAGAUACAUUUACGUCAACGACGACGGAGACACCGAAUUUAUUUCAGAAAUUAGGUAAUCUAUUAUUUAAACGAAAAUAGGUUUAAUAAAAAAUCCAUACCCA
Long non-coding RNA from Planococcus citri (citrus mealybug), 440 nucleotides. RefSeq lists it as uncharacterized. Lineage: Eukaryota; Metazoa; Arthropoda; Insecta; Hemiptera; Pseudococcidae. The transcript has 2 exons. The record is from RefSeq and is a predicted model, not a curated record.